UUUUCUCAAAAGGAUAUUCAAAAGGGUGAAUUCGUAAUCUCGUUUUGCCUUUGUUCCCUGAGCUGCCGCGUGUUUUUGCGCUCCCAUCUAUCUACAGCGACGUACGUGUUGAUUCUGUGUUUCUUUUACGUUAAUGGGAACGGAAAGGGGGCUCUGUUAAUUUCCAAGGAAAAAACAACAUAUUCAUUUUGUGCUCAAAUCAACGAUUUACGAACAAACAAAAAGAUUUCUCCAGCUGAGGAAACAAAGGAAACACUCUUCACUGACAAAGGUCACAGAGAACAAAGGAACACUUCAUUUACUUUGAGGAGCACAUCCAAAUCUGGAUCUCUCAUCUCCGUUACAGUAGAUGGAAGAAGUUAUUCGAAUUGCUAACAUUGAACCCCAAGAAGACAAAGGUGAAGAUCAAGGACGUCCAAGGGUAGAAUAGUAAAUUUAACCUGACAAGUACACACUCUCAUGAUUUUAGAACGCUCCAUCUUACUCAUUAGCACAGAAUAGACGCAAUAUUUUCAACACGAGAAUCAGUUCUUCCAUUUCUCUUGCUCCAACUCCAACAGCAACGAAUUUCAGGUGUACCAGGAACCGAUAUAAAGUUGAAGGAGAUCGGUCAUGAACCAUGUAGGCAUUGAAGCAGCUGCCAAUGAUUUCAAUGGUAACCGGGCUCUCUCAAGUCUGGAUGCAGAAGGUUGCACGGAAGAAAGAAUGUUUAGGUUGGUAGCUUGCCAAAAUUUACUUCAACAAACAAAAGACGAUAUCCUGAAAAAAAAAGAGCCUAACAAUCGCAAUGGUGGAUGUUUCUUGAAAGUGGAAUAUGUGCAGGAUGAAUCACUUGGUACAAUUUUUAAUGUUGAUAAAAGCACGAGUGAGGAAUCGACAUCAUACUCAUUUGCUACUCCAGAAAAUCUUGACAUCUUAGAUGGACCAUUGUCAAAUCGCUACUUUAGCUACUAAGGGAAUGGACAAGCAACUAUUGAAAAAUACAAAGCAACGAAAUAUUUCUGGCAAUGGACAAUAUUUGCAAUACUGUUAUGUGAUUUAUGUUUCCAUGGUGCAAAGUACGAACAGUGGUAAUAAUACAUUUUGUUGAUCAUGUAUCAUAGGAUGGUGGAUAGGAGCUAAUGAGUCAAUGAGUCAUACGCGUGGGUUUGAUUUUGCAAGUAUAUUAAAGGAAGUAUUAGAAAAGUAACUAUAA
Solanum pennellii is the source of this 1195-nucleotide long non-coding RNA. RefSeq lists it as uncharacterized. NCBI's taxonomy places the organism in Eukaryota, Viridiplantae, Streptophyta, Magnoliopsida, Solanales, Solanaceae. The transcript has 8 exons. The record is from RefSeq and is a predicted model, not a curated record.